This 452-nucleotide long non-coding RNA is filed under the name Capsella rubella. RNAcentral describes it as "long non-coding RNA (CRUB_LNC001046)". Lineage: Eukaryota; Viridiplantae; Streptophyta; Magnoliopsida; Brassicales; Brassicaceae. The record is from RNAcentral.
AUGUAGAAGUUGUCCCAUCAUAGCUUGGAUUCAAAUUCAAACUCAAUUCAUGAUUCAAACCGAGGCCAAAAGCAGAAACCGCAUUUCUACCACUACCAAUAACAGGACUAAAGCGGCCACCAACAGAGCCUAGAUUGUUAUAAAAACCAGGACCAGGAGCAAAGUUAUUAAAGUAGCUAUUAGCAGACAUCCUAUUAGAGCCGCCUCCAUAGUUAAGACCCCCAGGAAGCGGGCUUCGGUUACUAGAGGUAGGCGAAAUCUCCUUAGGUACGGCUCUUUUGACCUCGACUAGUUUUCCAUUGAGCUCAUGAAAUGUCUUGUGAAGAACCCUAUCAACAGCAUCAUCUGAAUCAAAUGUGAUGAAGCCAAAACCUCUUGGCCUCUGCGUGUUAUGAUCAUACAUUACCACAACAUCAGCAAUUGUACCAAACUGAUCAAAGUAGUUCUGAAAC